GUUCCAUCUUAGUGAAAGAGGAUGGGAAGCAGCAAUUGUUAGUUUAUUAUGCGAGUAAAACUCUACAAGGAGCAGAAAUGAGAUAUUUGGAUAUGGAAAAGUCGGCCCUUGCCUUAGUAGCAGCAUUAUGAAAGCUGUGAUCAUACUUCCAGAGCCACAAUAUCAAAGUACUGACUAGUCCCAUUUAAGUAAGUACAACAAACCUGAUGUGUCAGGAAUCCUAAUGAAACAGGCAAUAGAAUUGGGGUAAUUCGAGAUGCUAAUGAAGACGAUCUGCAAAUUUGCAAUAAAAGAUAAGAAACGUUAAACGUGGCCAGGCAUUAAUUAUUAUUAAGAGCGUGAAAAUCACAACCGAAAAAUUACAAGGCUUCAAGUUCGCAGCCGAAAUAUAAAUAACUAUGCUUGGACUUAGGGAAUUAUUUGUUGAAUCAAGAAAAUGAGCCAGUGAACUCACGCCCCCUAUAGGUGAAUGUCAAGUGCACAACUAAUGAAAAAUAGAAGAGUUCGCAGGCAAAGGGGUGAACCAUCCCCCUUAAAUUACAAAUCGGCAAAAGUCUAAAACACGUGGGUGAAAAUGAAAAGCAUGACUUCUAAACCAAUAAAUAAUAGAAUCGAUUAUCUAUUCAUCACUAACCUUUUAUUUUCCAUAAUGACUCAAUUGCCCCAAAGCCUCCAAGCUAAUCCAUAAAUACUCCUGCAUAAGAGGAGAAAUUGAUGCAAACUAAAUAUCUCCAUUCUAAUUCGCCAUUUCCCCUCUUGCUCCUGUUUAAGCUUCCAAAUCAGAGAGUAUAGAAGCAAAAUAUCCUAGUUAGGUGAGAGAAAUUUGUUGAUUAUAAUUUAGUGGUCAAUGAUGAUUAUUCUAGCUAUGUACCAUCCAUCCCGUGCCCUGCAUUGAUUAUCCUCUUUUCCUUUAUCUACAUUUUUAUGACUGGCCUAAUACUGAGUAGACAUGAUUGAGCUGAGGGUCUUUCCUAUUCUACUGGUAUGCCUGACUAUGCUCCAUAACUGGGUUCUCGGAGUAAGAAUGUAGUAGGCUUUUCAGCCAUGACUGCAACCAUGGCAUGAUAUUUAUUACAAUAAGUUGAAAUGCAUUUGAUAACAUUCUUUUCUGAUUGAGUAUGGCUUCUACUAUUCCUGGAGCUCAUCAAUUAGUCAACCAUAGACAUUUUAAUUAAGAAUCUGAAAGAGAUUAUCCUGAGCAAUUGCAAUAAUCGGUCAUUGUCCUGGAAUGUUUUGACAAUUAAUUUUAUGAGUAUAUCUUCUUUUACAAAAUAUAACCAGAAGGAGUGACAACGCAGGAUCAGAGGAACAUUCUUUAGAGUCGUUGUAGAAUCUGAUGAACAGGUAGAACUCUCGUUCUUGAGAACAUGGGAUACCUCGGUCGAGGGCAAGCUUGCUCCAUUAAAUAUAGAUAAAAGGUUAUGAAAACGUUUUAAAUCCAUAAAUGUAUUGAAAUGCUGCUUACAUGUUCAAAUCAUGUUGACAGUGAGCGAAACGAUUGCCAGGUUCGUUAUGCUUCGUGGUUGCUCCGGCUUCUAUUCGUAUGCCAUUUUUGAGCAUUUGGAGGGAUGGCCCGAUUUUAAUCUUGAUGAAAUAAGAAUUGCGUUUAAGCUUCGGAAAGACAAGUAUAACAUCUAAUUUCGCCCAUCUUAUCAAUCAGUGAUUCUAACUGCCCUCUUAGAAGAAAAUUUGAUUUUCUCAAGUAAAACUGAAAUCUUCAUUCAUUAAUAAUUUUACACAAUUUUACUAACUUGAAUGAACAUAUAGGUUUCGCUAUAUGGCCAUGGCAGAUAACAGGCAAAGGUUUGUGCCCUUACCAGAUGAUCGUUUACCGGGACGAGGCCAACAACUGGCUCAUCCAGAAGCAGUCCUUCUUGUGAAUCCUGUGGAGCCAGAAUUUAAAGGAGAGGUACAAUACUUUUUCAAGUUUAUUGAUUUUAUCUGUUGGAGGCUUCAACCAUCGCGAAUCAUUGGAAAAGCAAUUGUUGUUCAAUGAGGGAACGCUAAUCCUUUUAGGACAUUUGAACACCAUCACUUUUGAGUGACCCAAUCCCCGGGCUUCAGAGGGACAUUGUUUCUCCCCAGCAAUCACACCCUCAACAUGACGCUCUCGUUGCACAGACCCCAUGAACACGGCAAUAAUACAACUUCUUGGUUUGGGAGUUAAAUCUCAUCUGAAAAUCGAAUAUUGUCCAGUCAGGGAAGGAUAAACCUUUUAAUGCAUUCGACCGCCAUUAUUUGAGUGACCUAUUCAUGCACUUAAGAAUGGCAUUGUUGCUCCCCAACAGUGUCAUAUUCUUAAAUGUGUAUAUUCACCUUUUAUUUUGCUCUUUAAUUAACUCAGGUGGAUGAUAAGUAUCAGUACUCGUGCGAUAACCAAGAUCUUAAACUUCACGGCUGGAUAUGUAUGGAUCCACCUGUUGGGUUUUGGCAGAUCAGUCCUAGCAGUGAGUUCCGAUCAGGAGGACCUCUCAAACAAGAUCUUACUUCACAUGUUGGCCCAACUACUCUCGCUGUAAGUAUGUACUAACAAGUAUUUGAUUAGUUAUAAAAGCUGCAUAACUCGAUCAAUACGUUAUACUGUAUGGUAUUUUCAGAUGUUUAUUAGUGCUCACUAUGCCGGGAUCGAUCUGGUGCCUAAAUUUGGGGAAGGUGAGCCAUGGAAGAAAGUCUUUGGUCCAGUUUUCA
Molecule: long non-coding RNA, 2688 nt
Filed under: Olea europaea subsp. europaea
Lineage: Eukaryota; Viridiplantae; Streptophyta; Magnoliopsida; Lamiales; Oleaceae
Source: RNAcentral